GGGGGUGUAGCUCAGUGGUAGAGUGUUCGCUUCGCAUGCGAAAAGUCCCGGGUUCGAACCCCGGCACCUCCA
Molecule: transfer RNA, 72 nt
Filed under: Centruroides sculpturatus (bark scorpion)
Lineage: Eukaryota; Metazoa; Arthropoda; Arachnida; Scorpiones; Buthidae
Description: tRNA-Ala
Rfam family: tRNA
About the family: Transfer RNA (tRNA) molecules are approximately 80 nucleotides in length. Their secondary structure includes four short double-helical elements and three loops (D, anti-codon, and T loops). Further hydrogen bonds mediate the characteristic L-shaped molecular structure. tRNAs have two regions of fundamental functional importance: the anti-codon, which is responsible for specific mRNA codon recognition, and the 3' end, to which the tRNAs corresponding amino acid is attached (by aminoacyl-tRNA synthetases). tRNAs cope with the degeneracy of the genetic code in two manners: having more than one tRNA (with a specific anti-codon) for a particular amino acid; and 'wobble' base-pairing, i.e. permitting non-standard base-pairing at the 3rd anti-codon position.
Source: RNAcentral